GAACUGAAACAUCUAAGUACCCCGAGGAAAAGAAAUCAACCGAGAUUCCCCCAGUAGCGGCGAGCGAACGGGGAGCAGCCCAGAGCCUGAAUCAGUGUGUGUGUUAGUGGAAGCGUCUGGAAAGGCGUGCGAUACAGGGUGACAGCCCCGUACACAAAAAUGCACAUACUGUGAGCUCGAUGAGUAGGGCGGGACACGUGGUAUCCUGUCUGAAUAUGGGGGGACCAUCCUCCAAGGCUAAAUACUCCUGACUGACCGAUAGUGAACCAGUACCGUGAGGGAAAGGCGA
RNAcentral lists this ribosomal RNA (289 nucleotides) under Escherichia coli. RNAcentral describes it as "partial 23S ribosomal RNA". It matches the Rfam family "Bacterial large subunit ribosomal RNA", at positions 190 to 517 of the family's 2925-position model. Lineage: Bacteria; Pseudomonadati; Pseudomonadota; Gammaproteobacteria; Enterobacterales; Enterobacteriaceae. The record is from RNAcentral.